This 253-nucleotide ribosomal RNA is filed under the name uncultured bacterium. RNAcentral describes it as "partial 16S ribosomal RNA". It matches the Rfam family "Bacterial small subunit ribosomal RNA", at positions 524 to 776 of the family's 1533-position model. The record is from RNAcentral.
UACGUAGGGUGCAAGCGUUAAUCGGAAUUACUGGGCGUAAAGCGUGCGCAGGCGGCUUUGCAAGACAGAUGUGAAAUCCCCGGGCUCAACCUGGGAACUGCAUUUGUGACUGCAAGGCUAGAGUACGGCAGAGGGGGAUGGAAUUCCGCGUGUAGCAGUGAAAUGCGUAGAUAUGCGGAGGAACGCCAAUGGCGAAGGCAAUCCCCUGGGCCUGUACUGACGCUCAUGCACGAAAGCGUGGGGAGCAAACAGG